RNAcentral lists this long non-coding RNA (1245 nucleotides) under Sus scrofa (pig). Its description in RNAcentral is "lncRNA (ENSSSCG00030012336.1)". Lineage: Eukaryota; Metazoa; Chordata; Mammalia; Artiodactyla; Suidae. The record is from RNAcentral.
GAACGACCUCUGGAGCAUCAGACAGUCAAGUCACUGGAAGUAGAACAGGUACCACAGGUGUGGUCUUAGGUACCACAGUUGCACCUGGAAGUUCUAGUACAGGUAGGUUCUCAAACUGGAAAGAAAUCACCCUUUCUGGAAAUAAGAUGACAGAAUUGUCUUUUGCAUUGAUCUUCUCAUAUAGGAGCAUCCCAGUCUAAUUUCCCUUCUUCCUAAGUCCCCAUCUUUACCUGUUUCUUCUUCUUUUUUUUUAUUUCCAGAAGCCACCACACUUCCCCUGGAGUCAUUAGAACUACUGCAAUGGGAUUGAAAAUAGAUGAGAAUUAUUGUGUGUGUGUGUGUGUGUGUGUGUGUGUGUGUGUGAGAGAGAGAGAGAGAGAGAGAGAGAGAGAGAGAGAGAGAGAGAGAAUUUGAUUGAUAAAUCAAAGUUGGCCCUUGAACAACAUGGGAUUGAACCUCACAGGUCCACUUACAUGGGGAUUUUUUCUGACAAUAAAUAUUACUCUUACCACACAAUCUGUGGUUGCUUGAAACCAUGGAUGUGGAACAAUGGAUAGGGAGGAGCUGUGGAUACAGAGGGCCCACUGUAAAUUAUGCAUGGAUUUUUGACUACGAAGAGAGUUGGCACCCCCAACCCCUGUAUUGUUCAAGGGUCGACUGUGGUUUUUUGUUUCUUAGAAAGGAAUUUUUUAGAAACUCUCAUCUCAGAUCAAUGUUUUUUUUUGUUACUUGACUUUGAAUUAAAUGGGGCAUAUUUUUGAAGUCCCUCUGUUUCCACGGUCUAGUGUCAUAUGUGUAGAUCAAAAUGUCUAGAAAGUUUUCUUUUUCCUCACCACAAAAUUAAAUGAUGGAAAGACAGUCCCAGAGGGUGCUACUUCAGGUAAGCAGAAGGCUACAAUGAGAACACACAAAAAAAUCAAUCUCUAUUCAUUGGAUCCCUAAGUACAAAAGUGACUGAAAAUGUGCAGUCGUUAUCCCAAUGUGUGUAUCUUUACACUCAGAAGUUUUCCUGUUUUCAUCCUCUUAGGAGCUACCACUGGAGUACUGAUAAAUGAAGGAACUAGAAGCACAUCAUUAGGUACCACGAGGGUAGCUUCUGGCACUACAUAUGAAUCUGGGACUUCUAACUCAGAAAGUAUAGUGCCCUCUGGAGGCAGUGGGACACCAGGAAGUGGAAUAAAUACAGGUGAGCACUCAAGCUUCAUAACCUCUCCAUUUUUCACUUACAGUAGCAAUACUAGCUAA